Melitaea cinxia (Glanville fritillary) is the source of this 324-nucleotide long non-coding RNA. RefSeq lists it as uncharacterized. NCBI's taxonomy places the organism in Eukaryota, Metazoa, Arthropoda, Insecta, Lepidoptera, Nymphalidae. The record is from RefSeq and is a predicted model, not a curated record. The transcript has 2 exons.
UCUUAUAUAUAGUGCAUUGUGGUAUGUUUCGAGGUUCGCGUAUAGGCGGGUCUACUGACUCUCGGCGCGUGGGCAUCAGUUGAAUCAAUGAAGUCUGACAAGGUGACGCACAAUACUGUGUACACACGAUUAGAUGACCAUUUCGAUUAAUUAGUCGAGAUAAAGACGAAUCAAUGACAUCGGUAGAUGAAUUUGUAAAUUCAUCAGCAUGGCUUAUCAAGGUACCGACUGUGCCGUUUUUAUUUGUGAACGUUUAUGAUAACGCGCCCGGAUACAAAACGAAAUAUGAUUAUUAAAAUUUGACAAUACUAUGUAAAAGCUUCA